CCUACGGGAGACAGCAGUAGGGAAUAUUGCUCAAUGGGGGAAACCCUGAAGCAGCAACGCCGCGUGGAGGAUGAAGGUUUUCGGAUUGUAAACUCCUUUUGUUAGAGAAGAUAAUGACAGUAUCUAACGAAUAAGCACCGGCUAACUCCGUGCCAGCAGCCGCGGUAAUACGGAGGGUGCAAGCGUUACUCGGAAUCACUGGGCGUAAAGAGCGCGUAGGCGGGAUAGCAAGUCAGAUGUGAAAUCCUAUGGCUUAACCAUAGAACUGCAUUUGAAACUGUUAGUCUAGAGUAUGGGAGAGGUAGGUGGAAUUCUUGGUGUAGGGGUAAAAUGCGUAGAGAUCAAGAGGAAUACUCAUUGCGAAGGCGACCUGCUAGAACAUAACUGACGCUGAUGCGCGAAAGCGUGGGGAGCAAACAGGAUUAGAUACCCUUGUAGUC
This 440-nucleotide ribosomal RNA is filed under the name uncultured bacterium. RNAcentral's name for it is "partial 16S ribosomal RNA". It matches the Rfam family "Bacterial small subunit ribosomal RNA", at positions 338 to 795 of the family's 1533-position model. The record is from RNAcentral.